GAAGGCGUUCUUAGUUUAGUUUAAUAGAAUGUGAGUCUCCAAAACCUAAUGCCUAGGUUCAAAUCCUACAAAGCG
This 75-nucleotide transfer RNA is filed under the name Helianthus annuus (common sunflower). RNAcentral describes it as "tRNA-Trp". It matches the Rfam family "tRNA". Rfam says of the family: Transfer RNA (tRNA) molecules are approximately 80 nucleotides in length. Their secondary structure includes four short double-helical elements and three loops (D, anti-codon, and T loops). Lineage: Eukaryota; Viridiplantae; Streptophyta; Magnoliopsida; Asterales; Asteraceae. The record is from RNAcentral.